AAAAAAAAACAACUUAUUUUUCCUUUUGCUGAAAAAGAGAUUUUUCUUUGAAGUUCAUUCCACUUUUUGUCCAUCAAAUUAUCUUUUGUGAAAGUUUAAAUUUAACUUUCAUUGGUGCAACCAGUAAGUAUGAAUUGACACUGCGCUCAGUAGGGUUUCCCUAUAUUACUCCUGAUAUUAACGGCACAUGCUUAUCUUUAGAUUGCUGCUUGUUGUAAUAGUGAAAUAUAGUAUUAGUGCAGUCAGGUUGGCAAUGACUGUAAUGCCACACUGACAGGAUAGUGCGCAUGCGCAAGGUGAAGGGAAUCCAAGAUGGAUUAUCUGUUAUCAUUAUCAGCUGCUGCCCGAAUGGCUUGUUCGUGAUGUGUUCGUGAUUAACAAUGAAUAAAUCUAUAAUUCCGUAAAGUGCGUUGAUUCAUUUCAUAUCAUCGAACAUAACAUGGUGCCGAAACCGAUGGUUUUCCGCGAUCGAAAAAGUAAUUACGGUAUACGGUUACGGAAAAGUCGCGAGUGCUACUGCCAUGUGCCAGUGACAACCAUUGAAGCCUGAGAUUGUGCCAUCAAUCAAAACAGGUAGCCUGCAAUUCCUGCAAAAUCAAGAAAUAGUGUGCCAACACAAAGCAUAAGCAAUGCCGAACACAAGUGCAAAUGGAGAGACCGAGGGAGGAACAGCAUCCCAUGGCUCCACAAAAACAAUAUCUGCCAAGAUAAAGCCUCUGGAAAUUGUCGCCGGAGCGAACAUGGCGGAACGUUGGGAAGUCUGGAAAGCUAGAUUCGAAAUAUUCAUGUGUGCAACAACGUGUGAUGGAGAAUCAGAUGCAAGAAGAAAUUGUCUGCUAUUGCAAUUUCUUGGGGAUGAUGCAUAUAGCUAUAACGCAUCAUUCAAUAAGAAGUACAACGAACUCACACAUAAGCAACUCAUAGAAUUGUUUGAUGCACAUUUCAAGCCAGAAAAGAAUGUGGAAAUGGCUUUAUAUAAAUUAAUAACCAGAAAACAAAAAGAAGAUGAGACAUUGGAUGAGUUCGUCACAAGUUUGAAGAAUUUAAGCCUGGCCUGUAACCUAGACAAUCAAAGGGAUAAAAUUGUCAAAGCAAUUAUGAUUGCAAAUUUGCUGCCAAAGUUUGAAGAGGUGAGAAUCCAAAUAUUGAUGAAGCAGGAUGAAACAUUGGAGAAUGCCAUCAAAAUCAUCAAAACAUUCGAUGCAUCAAGGCGUCAGGUGCAGGAGAUGGAUGCAACUGAACCUGUGGUAGGCAAAAUCAGCAGACGUUAUCAAGAUGAUGCUCGGCAAAGUACAGAGCAGCGCAGUCAUCAAAGAACUACCAACAGUGCUAAGCAGUAUGUGAGUGGUCCGAAGCACAAAGGACAAUCAAGUCGGCGGUACGGUUCUUCUAAGGUGCAAGCCGAUGACUCGAGAAGGACUGGAAACUACAGUAGGUGCAAAAACUGUGGAAAUACCAAACAUUAUUCUGGAAGGUGCCCUGCCAUUGGGAGAAAAUGUGACAAUUGCAAUGGGUCAAAUCACUUCUCAAGAGUGUGCAAGUAUGCUGAGCGAAAAGUGAGACUGGUGGAUGAGGAGUCGACUGAUAGCGACGAUUACUAUUCGGAAGAUGAUGGUCCUGAGCUAUUCAUUGGUGCGAUCGAAUCCAAGCAGGAGGACGAUCAGUGAACAACAAUAGACGAGAAAGCCUGCUUCCCCACGAAAUUGCAGAUU
This 1712-nucleotide long non-coding RNA is filed under the name Bemisia tabaci. RNAcentral's name for it is "lncRNA ENSSSA3NGG007822". The record is from RNAcentral. Lineage: Eukaryota; Metazoa; Arthropoda; Insecta; Hemiptera; Aleyrodidae.